ACCACGGGUAGCCCUACAUGGAAGUUGUACAGCCAGCAGAGAGCACAGGAGCAGAGUUAUGGCAAGAGGCACAUCACCGGGUCUCUGAUGAGAUCAGCCAUGGAUACUGUGGAGUGAGAAGGAAGUCCCUUAUCACAGCACACAUGGGUCGUGUAGCUGGCCAUGGGUGACACUGAUCGCUCCAGCAGACACGACGUGCUGCCACUGUGUCAUGCAUGGCGCCUCGGCAGAUGCGCUCCUC
This 241-nucleotide long non-coding RNA is filed under the name Gallus gallus (chicken). RNAcentral's name for it is "long non-coding RNA NONGGAT004217". Lineage: Eukaryota; Metazoa; Chordata; Aves; Galliformes; Phasianidae. The record is from RNAcentral.